AGAGUUUGAUCAUGGCUCAGGAUAAGCGCUGGCGGCGCACAUAAGACAUGCAAGUCGAACGGACUUAAUCGAUUCUUUUAGAUUCGAAGCGGUUAGUGGCGGACUGGUGAGUAACACGUAAGCAACCUACCUAUUAGAGGGGAAUAACAGUGAGAAAUCACUGCUAAAACCGCAUAUGCCGUGAACAUCGCAUGAUGAAAACGGGAAAAGAGCAAUCCGCUAACAGAUGGGCUUGCGGCUGAUUAGCUAGUUGGUUAGGUAAAGGCUGACCAAGGCAACGAUCAGUAGCCGAGUUGAGAGACUGAACGGCCACAUUGGGACUGAGAUACGGCCCAGACUUCUACGGGAGGCAGCAGUCGGGAAUAUUGCGCAAUGGAGGGAACUCUGACGCAGUGACGCCGCGUAUAGGAAGAAGGUUUUCGGAUUGUAAACUAUUGUCGUUAGGGAAGAAAAAGGACAGUACCUAAGGAGGAAGCUCCGG
Molecule: ribosomal RNA, 481 nt
Filed under: uncultured bacterium
Lineage: Bacteria
Description: bacterial SSU rRNA
Rfam family: Bacterial small subunit ribosomal RNA
Source: RNAcentral